AUUGAACGCUGGCGGCAUGCUUUACACAUGCAAGUCGAACGGCAGCGCGGGCUUCGGCCUGGCGGCGAGUGGCGAACGGGUGAGUAAUACAUCGGAACGUGCCCAGUAGUGGGGGAUAGCUCGGCGAAAGCCGGAUUAAUACCGCAUACGACCUGAGGGGGAAAGCGGGGGAUCUUCGGACCUCGCGCUAUUGGAGCGGCCGAUGGCAGAUUAGCUAGUUGGUGGGGUAAAGGCCUACCAAGGCGACGAUCUGUAGCUGGUCUGAGAGGACGACCAGCCACACUGGGACUGAGACACGGCCCAGACUCCUACGGGAGGCAGCAGUGGGGAAUUUUGGACAAAGGGCGAAAGCCUGAUCCAGCAAUGCCGCGUGUGUGAUGAAGGCCUUCGGGUUGUAAAGCACUUUUGGCGGGAACGAAAAGGACUGUGCCAAUACCACGGUUCGAUGACGGUACCCGCAGAAUAAGCACCGGCUAACUACGUG
Molecule: ribosomal RNA, 484 nt
Filed under: uncultured bacterium
Lineage: Bacteria
Description: partial 16S ribosomal RNA
Rfam family: Bacterial small subunit ribosomal RNA
Source: RNAcentral